This is a long non-coding RNA of Carassius gibelio (silver crucian carp), 1536 nucleotides long. RefSeq lists it as uncharacterized. The transcript has 3 exons. The record is from RefSeq and is a predicted model, not a curated record. NCBI's taxonomy places the organism in Eukaryota, Metazoa, Chordata, Actinopteri, Cypriniformes, Cyprinidae.
UAAAAGGGGGGCCUUAAAGAGAAAAUGAAACGUGGAGAAGUUAGUCACGACACAAAAUAGACCGUUUUUCUUGCCGACCUAACGUUAGUGCGAAGGACAACAACGACGUCGAAGGCGAGAGGGAAGUUUUGUCAAACAGCAGUUGCCCGUCUUUGGAUGAGAAUAACAAUGCAGCUGACCGCUUGAUGAGGUGCAGAGAGCCGGGGAGCGAAGAAGCAGUCACAGACGAGCCAAAAGCUGGGUAUUCGGUGGGAAAUAUGUAAAAAAAUAUAUUAUUUGCGGAACACAAUGUCGCAAAACAGACUAUCGGGACUGGCAAUUCUUUCCAUCGAGAAUGCACGAAACCGUGAAUUAAACACCACGUUCCUGUUGGAUGAAUUUGCCGACAGAAAGGCCCGGAGAAUGCAACUAAAAUGAGUCCAGGGACAAGUGUGCCAUCUGCAGGCUGUGUUUCUAAAAACUUCAACCUCCCCAGACACCAUUACGCUCUUCCUGAAACUCCCUGCACAACCGCGGAUGCGUGCUGUCAGAAAAGCAAUCAAGACAGGAACUGAAAGACAUGUUGGGACAUCAAAAGCUAUUAGCUAAAAUUUAAUACGAUCCAUAUAGGAAGAUCUUUGGAGGUGUAAACAUGAUAAUUAAUAUACAUGGAAUGUCUCCGUCGUUAGUGCUGAUAUAGUGUCCUUCAAAGGGUAUACGCAUCAUUAAUUAUGAGAAGCACUAGCAUUUACAAAAUCAAAACAUAACAGCACGCGCAUCACUGGACAAACAGGGUGCUCGACAAAAAAUAUUAAUAAUGAAAAACAGAACUUGUGUGAUAGAUUUCUGUUAUUCAAUUUGAAACCAAGCAACAGCAUUUAAAAAAAGACAUAAAUCACAGGACAACUGUUAAAAAGAAACACCUAAAAGUAGAUGUUAUAUGUUACACUGCAUCCCUUUCAGAAUGAAUUAGAGUAAAGCUACAGUUUCCCUUCCACAGGCAGCACACGUGGAUCAUGAACGACUGAUUCAGCAACUGGACUUUCACAUCUGUAACUCAGAAGUGUGCAUUAACUAAUGAUCUCAUGACUCUGCUGAUACAAUUACAGGUUUUGGCAAACACCCAGAGAUACUUCCAAAUGUAUUAUGCUUUCUCUGGUUACUAUUGUACCACUUCCCAGUCACUUCCAGACUGACAGAAUCAAUUUGAUGGCUUGUUUGAAUUUUCCAUUUGUCACGUUGAAUUAAUCUGCUUAGGAAAAAAAGCAAUUUUACAUUUUAUUUUACAAAAACACUAAGUCAAAUGUUUGGGGUCGGUAAGAGUAAAACAGUAAAAAAAAAGUAAUAUUGUGAACUAUUAUCACUAUUUAAUUUGUUUUUAAAUAGUUUAGAUUUUUAUGUAUAUUAAUAAUUUGUAAUGAUGGCAAAAGCUGAAUUUUCAGCAGCAUUACUCCAGUCUUCAGUGUUGCAUGAUCCUUCAGAAAGCAUUCUAAUAUGCUGAUUUGGUGCUUAUUAUUAUUAAUGUUGAAAACAGUUAAUUUAUAAGGUAACACUUUA